This is a long non-coding RNA of Oncorhynchus keta (chum salmon), 766 nucleotides long. RefSeq lists it as uncharacterized. The record is from RefSeq and is a predicted model, not a curated record. Lineage: Eukaryota; Metazoa; Chordata; Actinopteri; Salmoniformes; Salmonidae. The transcript has 3 exons.
GACAUUCAAACGCGACUGCAAUGAAAACGAAUGGGACUGUAAAAGAUGUGUUGGCAUCAAAAUUCAGGGUGUGAACUACGAUUCGAGUCAGUGUUGAUUGACAUGGUAAUACUAACAGUAUUGGAGAAAAUAUUUUAAAAAGCUGACCCCUCUGACGCUGUACGUUACAUCGUGAUCAUCACUAGUAAAGUACAGCGCGCAUUUGCAACUCAUUUUGUGCCAUACAGCCUCUUUCCAUCAGGGGUAGCCCUUCUCUCACAGAUUAAAAUCAUGCUUUAACCAUAUACACUUGUAAGACAACUUCAUUAUUUUUGUCUAAAUUAAUAUAAUUAUUGCUAAUAUUAAACUAACAUUUCUUGACUAGGGUGCCAGUUGCAUUUUUUCCCCACAUCAUUACUGCAAGCCAUCAUGACACUCAAAAGCCAGCACAGCUGCAGUUCACUUGUGAGGCUAAUGUUAGCGCAGCCCUAAAUCCCUAUUCAAAUUUGACAGAAACCUUCAAACAGGUAGUCCAGCAUGGCCUCAGCCUUCGCCUGCUCGUUCACAGACUGCUCAUGGAAGAACGCUGCCACUCUUGGCAAGGCAAUGUCAUCCUGCUCAAAUAUCUUAGCCUGGAAGAGUCAAUACAGAGUAAGUCAGAAUUUCGUAAACAAGUAACUUGCAGUUGCAGCCUAUUGCUAGAUGGUCGGGUCGUCCUUACCAGUGCAUCAAGUAUGUAAGCGACCUCCAUAAUCAAUGUAGAUACUCCGCACAAACUCUCCUCAAC